Molecule: ribosomal RNA, 854 nt
Filed under: Diaporthe maytenicola
Lineage: Eukaryota; Fungi; Ascomycota; Sordariomycetes; Diaporthales; Diaporthaceae
Description: eukaryotic LSU rRNA
Rfam family: Eukaryotic large subunit ribosomal RNA
Source: RNAcentral
UGCCCUAGUAACGGCGAGUGAAGCGGCAACAGCUCAAAUUUGAAAUCUGGCCUCGGCCCGAGUUGUAAUUUGCAGAGGAUGCUUCUGGCGCGGUGCCUUCCGAGUUCCCUGGAACGGGACGCCACAGAGGGUGAGAGCCCCGUAUGGUCGGACACCAAGCCUGUGUGAAGCUCCUUCGACGAGUCGAGUAGUUUGGGAAUGCUGCUCUAAAUGGGAGGUAAAUCUCUUCUAAAGCUAAAUACCGGCCAGAGACCGAUAGCGCACAAGUAGAGUGAUCGAAAGAUGAAAAGCACCUUGAAAAGGGGGUUAAAUAGUACGUGAAAUUGUUGAAAGGGAAGCACUUAUGACCAGACUUGGGCCGGGCGGCUCAUCAGGGGUUCUCCCCUGUGCACUCCGCCCGGCACAGGCCAGCAUCGGUUCUCGUGGGGGGAUAAGACCGUCAGGAACGUAGCACCCUCCGGGGUGUGUUAUAGCCUGGCGGACGAUACCCCCGUGGGGACCGAGGUCCGCGCUCCGCAAGGAUGCUGGCGUAAUGGUCAUCAGUGACCCGUCUUGAAACACGGACCAAGGAGUCGUCCAUUAGAGCGAGCGUUUGGGUGUAAAACCCGCACGCGUAAUGAAAGUGAACGCAGGUGAGAGCUUCGGCGCAUCAUCGACCGAUCCUGAUGUUCUCGGAAGGAUUUGAGUAAGAGUUUUAACGGACGGACCCGAAAGACAGUGAACUAUGCUUGAAUAGGGUGAAGCCAGAGGAAACUCUGGUGGAGGCUCGCAGCGGUUCUGACGUGCAAAUCGAUCGUCAAAUAUGAGCAUGGGGGCGAAAGACUAAUCGAACUGUCUAGUAGCUGGUUACCGCC